GUGGGGAAUCUUGCGCAAUGGGCGAAAGCCUGACGCAGCCAUGCCGCGUGAAUGAUGAAGGUCUUAGGAUUGUAAAAUUCUUUCACCGGGGACGAUAAUGACGGUACCCGGAGAAGAAGCCCCGGCUAACUUCGUGCCAGCAGCCGCGGUAAUACGAAGGGGGCUAGCGUUGCUCGGAAUUACUGGGCGUAAAGGGCGCGUAGGCGGACAGUUUAGUCAGAGGUGAAAGCCCAGGGCUCAACCUUGGAAUUGCCUGUGAUACUGGCUGUCUUGAGUACGGGAGAGGUGAGUGGAACUCCGAGUGUAGAGGUGAAAUUCGUAGAUAUUCGGAAGAACACCAGUGGCGAAGGCGACUCACUGGCCCGUUACUGACGCUGAGGCGCGAAAGCGUGGGGAGCAAACAGGAUUAGAAACCCGAGUAGUCC
This 425-nucleotide ribosomal RNA is filed under the name uncultured bacterium. RNAcentral's name for it is "partial 16S ribosomal RNA". It matches the Rfam family "Bacterial small subunit ribosomal RNA", at positions 354 to 796 of the family's 1533-position model. The record is from RNAcentral.